Molecule: ribosomal RNA, 470 nt
Filed under: uncultured bacterium
Lineage: Bacteria
Description: bacterial SSU rRNA
Rfam family: Bacterial small subunit ribosomal RNA
Source: RNAcentral
AGAGUUUGAUCAUGGCUCAGAGCGAACGCUGGCGGCAGGCCUAAUACAUGCAAGUCGAACGGCUCUUCGGAGCAGUGGCGGACGGGUGAGUAACGCGUGGGAAUGUGCCCUUUGGUACGGAACAACACAGGGAAACUUGUGCUAAUACCGUAUGUGCCCUUCGGGGGAAAGAUUUAUUGCCAUUGGAGCAGCCCGCGUUGGAUUAGCUAGUUGGUGGGGUAAAGGCUCACCAAGGCUACGAUCCAUAGCUGGUCUGAGAGGAUGAUCAGCCACACUGGGACUGAGACACGGCCCAGACUCCUACGGGAGGCAGCAGUAGGGAAUCUUGCGCAAUGGGCGAAAGCCUGACGCAGCCAUGCCGCGUGAAUGAUGAAGGUCUUAGGAUUGUAAAAUUCUUUCACCGGGGAAGAUAAUGACGGUACCCGGAGAAGAAGCCCCGGCUAACUUCGUGCCAGCCGCCGCGGUAAUAC